This 211-nucleotide non-coding RNA is filed under the name Enterococcus sp. Its description in RNAcentral is "T-box sequence". It matches the Rfam family "T-box leader". Rfam says of the family: Uncharged tRNA acts as the effector for transcription antitermination of genes in the T-box leader family. T-boxes are found upstream of many aminoacyl-tRNA synthetase genes and some amino acid biosynthetic genes usually in Gram-positive bacteria. Lineage: Bacteria; Bacillati; Bacillota; Bacilli; Lactobacillales; Enterococcaceae. The record is from RNAcentral.
GAAAACACGCAGAAAAGAAGAAGUAAAAGGACGUUUGCUUACCAGAGAGACUAUGGCAGGUGGAAAUAGUCAUCAAGCACCUUUGAAAUGCCUCUUUGAGUGGUUUCAGCGAAAUUUAAGUAGCUGGAAACGUAGACAGACGUUACCUGUAUCAAGGCAAAACGAUUCUGUUUUGCGAAAAAAAGUGGAACCGCGUGGAAACGUCUUUUAA